UGGGGAAUCUUGGACAAUGGGGGCAACCCUGAUCCAGCCAUGCCGCGUGAGUGAUGAAGGCCUUAGGGUCGUAAAGCUCUUUCGCCUGUGAAGAUAAUGACGGUAGCAGGUAAAGAAACCCCGGCUAACUCCGUGCCAGCAGCCGCGGUAAUACGGAGGGGGUUAGCGUUGUUCGGAAUUACUGGGCGUAAAGCGCACGUAGGCGGACCAGAAAGUUGGGGGUGAAAUCCCGGGGGCUCAACCCCGGAACUGCCUCCAAAACUAUUGGUCUAGAGUUCGAGAGAGGUGAGUGGAAUUCCAAGUGUAGAGGUGAAAUUCGUAGAUAUUUGGAGGAACACCAGUGGCGAAGGCGGCUCACUGGCUCGAUACUGACGCUGAGGUGCGAAAGUGUGGGGAGCAAACAGGAUUAGAUACCCUGGUAGUCCACACCGUAAAACGAUGAGUGCUAGUCGUCGGCAGGCAUGCCUGUCGGUGACGCAGCUAACGCAUUAAGCACUCCGCCUGGGGAGUACGGCCGCAGGUUAAAAC
RNAcentral lists this ribosomal RNA (528 nucleotides) under uncultured bacterium. RNAcentral describes it as "bacterial SSU rRNA". It matches the Rfam family "Bacterial small subunit ribosomal RNA", at positions 355 to 900 of the family's 1533-position model. The record is from RNAcentral.